This 393-nucleotide ribosomal RNA is filed under the name uncultured bacterium. RNAcentral describes it as "bacterial SSU rRNA". It matches the Rfam family "Bacterial small subunit ribosomal RNA", at positions 30 to 424 of the family's 1533-position model. The record is from RNAcentral.
AUUGAACGCUGGCGGAAUGCUUUACACAUGCAAGUCGAACGGCAGCACGGGGCAACCUGGUGGCGAGUGGCGAACGGGUGAGUAAUACAUCGGAACGUGCCCAAUCGUGGGGGAUAACGUAGCGAAGUUACGCUAAUACCGCAUACGAUCUACGGAUGAAAGCGGGGGAUCGCAAGACCUCGCGCGAGUGGAGCGGCCGAUGUCAGAUUAGGUAGUUGGUGGGGUAAAGGCUCACCAAGCCAACGAUCUGUAGCUGGUCUGAGAGGACGACCAGCCACACUGGAACUGAGACACGGUCCAGACUCCUACGGGAGGCAGCAGUGGGGAAUUUUGGGACAAUGGGCGCAAGCCUGAUCCAGCCAUUCCGCGUGCAGGAUGAAAGGCCUUCGGGUU